RNAcentral lists this ribosomal RNA (253 nucleotides) under uncultured bacterium. RNAcentral's name for it is "partial 16S ribosomal RNA". It matches the Rfam family "Bacterial small subunit ribosomal RNA", at positions 524 to 776 of the family's 1533-position model. The record is from RNAcentral.
UACGGAGGGUGCAAGCGUUAAUCGGAAUUACUGGGCGUAAAGCGCACGCAGGCGGUCUGUCAAGUCGGGUGUGAAAUCCCCGGGCUUAACCUGGGAACUGCAUUCGAAACUGCCAGACUAGAGUCUUGUAGAGGGGAGUAGAAUUCCCGGUGUAGCGGUGAAAUGCGUAGAGAUCUGGAGGAAUACCGAUGGCGAAGGCGGCUCCCUGGACAAAGACUGACGCUCAGGUGCGAAAGCGUGGGGAGCAAACAGG